This 696-nucleotide ribosomal RNA is filed under the name fungal sp. RNAcentral's name for it is "eukaryotic LSU rRNA". The stretch from base 488 to 696 matches the Rfam family "Eukaryotic large subunit ribosomal RNA", at positions 1 to 209 of the family's 3401-position model. Lineage: Eukaryota; Fungi. The record is from RNAcentral.
UUACACAAAUAUGAAGGCGGGCUGGAACCUCUCGGGGUUACAGCCUUGCUGAAUUAUUCACCCUUGUCUUUUGCGUACUUCUUGUUUCCUUGGUGGGUUCGCCCACCACUAGGACAAACAUAAACCUUUUGUAAUUGCAAUCAGCGUCAGUAACAAAUUAAUAAUUACAACUUUCAACAACGGAUCUCUUGGUUCUGGCAUCGAUGAAGAACGCAGCGAAAUGCGAUAAGUAGUGUGAAUUGCAGAAUUCAGUGAAUCAUCGAAUCUUUGAACGCACAUUGCGCCCUUUGGUAUUCCAAAGGGCAUGCCUGUUCGAGCGUCAUUUGUACCCUCAAGCUUUGCUUGGUGUUGGGCGUCUUGUCUCUAGCUUUGCUGGAGACUCGCCUUAAAGUAAUUGGCAGCCGGCCUACUGGUUUCGGAGCGCAGCACAAGUCGCACUCUCUAUCAGCAAAGGUCUAGCAUCCAUUAAGCCUUUUUUUUCAACUUUUGACCUCGGAUCAGGUAGGGAUACCCGCUGAACUUAAGCAUAUCAAUAAGCGGAGGAAAAGAAACCAACAGGGAUUGCCCUAGUAACGGCGAGUGAAGCGGCAACAGCUCAAAUUUGAAAUCUGGCUCUUUUAGAGUCCGAGUUGUAAUUUGCAGAGGGCGCUUUGGCUUUGGCAGCGGUCCAAGUUCCUUGGAACAGGACGUCACAGA